This 274-nucleotide ribosomal RNA is filed under the name uncultured bacterium. Its description in RNAcentral is "partial 16S ribosomal RNA". It matches the Rfam family "Bacterial small subunit ribosomal RNA", at positions 523 to 796 of the family's 1533-position model. The record is from RNAcentral.
AUACGGAGGGUCCGAGCGUUAUCCGGAAUCAUUGGGUUUAAGGGGUCCGUAGGCGGGAAUCUAAGUCAGUGGUGAAAUCUUGCAGCUCAACUGUAAAAUUGCCAUUGAUACUGGAUUUCUUGAAUUAGUGUGAAGUGGUUAGAAUGUGUAGUGUAGCGGUGAAAUGCAUAGAUAUUACACAGAAUACCAAUUGCGAAGGCAGAUCACUAACACUAUAUUGACGCUAAGGGACGAAAGCGUGGGGAGCGAACAGGAUUAGAAACCCCAGUAGUCC